RNAcentral lists this transfer RNA (77 nucleotides) under gamma proteobacterium HdN1. RNAcentral's name for it is "tRNA-Pro (GGG) (tRNA-Pro-GGG-1-1)". It matches the Rfam family "tRNA". From Rfam's summary of the family: Transfer RNA (tRNA) molecules are approximately 80 nucleotides in length. Their secondary structure includes four short double-helical elements and three loops (D, anti-codon, and T loops). The record is from RNAcentral. RNAcentral also lists the same sequence under 4 other names. Lineage: Bacteria; Pseudomonadati; Pseudomonadota; Gammaproteobacteria.
CGGGGCGUAGCGCAGCCUGGUAGCGCACCACAAUGGGGUUGUGGGGGUCGAAGGUUCAAAUCCUUCCGUCCCGACCA